This is a long non-coding RNA of Galeopterus variegatus (Sunda flying lemur), 671 nucleotides long. RefSeq lists it as uncharacterized. NCBI's taxonomy places the organism in Eukaryota, Metazoa, Chordata, Mammalia, Dermoptera, Cynocephalidae. The transcript has 3 exons. The record is from RefSeq and is a predicted model, not a curated record.
AGGAAGAAGAGGAGGCUGCUGAGGAUGGAGAGGAGGAGGAGGAAGGGGAAGAAGAAGAUGAGGAAGAAGACGAAGAGGAUGACGAGGGGCCGGCGCUGAAGAGAGCUGCUGAAGAGGAGGACGAAGCGGAUCCCAAGCGGCAGAAGACAGAAAAUGGGGCAUCGGCAUGAGCCCCUGCCAAUGGGCUGGGAGUGGGAGGGCCCUCGGGGCCUGGAGGUUGGGUGGGAGCAGACAAGUCCAGCCACCCUGCACCUGGUCCCUGCGCUGGGCCCAGCCCCAGAGCCACACCCCUUCUUCCUCUCCAGCCUUCUCCUUUCUGCCUCUCCAGACACUGCUCCUCCACCCUCACUCUGCCACUGUCCCACCUUCUGACCUGCUCCAUCUGAGCUCCCCAGCGGUCCCCAAUUGUUCCUCUCUCUUUCCCUCUCUCUUCCUCCUGCCCGCACCAACCCCACCUCCUCUGGUAGCCUCACCUACCUAACCUCUGCACCCCAGUCCCAUGUCCUGCCCAUCCCUAUCCUGCCUGACCCCUGGAUCUCCCUCAGAUCCCCACCUCUCAGACAGCGCCAGGCCGGGGUGGGGCCGGGGUUGGGGCCGAGCCCCACAGCUGCCCCCCUCCCCUCCCCUUUUUGUAUAAUUUAAUAAAGAAAUGGUCGCGCUUCUGUUUUUAA